UCCCCUGUGGCGCAGAUGGUUAGCGCGGCACCCUGUGUGAGUUCAAUCGCUCACCUCGGUGCAGGUCGCCGGUUCGAGUCCGGCCAGGGGAA
RNAcentral lists this transfer RNA (92 nucleotides) under Rhodococcus (subgen. Prescottella) equi. RNAcentral's name for it is "Prescottella equi tRNA-OTHER". It matches the Rfam family "tRNA". From Rfam's summary of the family: Transfer RNA (tRNA) molecules are approximately 80 nucleotides in length. Their secondary structure includes four short double-helical elements and three loops (D, anti-codon, and T loops). The record is from RNAcentral. Lineage: Bacteria; Bacillati; Actinomycetota; Actinomycetes; Mycobacteriales; Nocardiaceae.